GUACCGGUCACCGCAAGGUUUUCUGCUGUUGCAGCAGAUCAGACUUUCGCGUUGCGCCUCUGGUGCAGCGCACCCGGCAUCGCCGGAUUUUGCUAACCCGCUGGUGAAUGCACCAGC
Pseudomonas sp. 21C1 is the source of this 117-nucleotide regulatory RNA element. It matches the Rfam family "Pseudomon-groES RNA". The record is from Rfam. Lineage: Bacteria; Pseudomonadati; Pseudomonadota; Gammaproteobacteria; Pseudomonadales; Pseudomonadaceae.